CUUCGGUACAUCGGUGACAGGUGGUGCAUGGUUGUCGUCAGCUCGUGUCGUGAGAUGUUGGGUUAAGUCCCGCAACGAGCGCAACCCCUAUUGUUAGUUGCCAUCAUUCAGUUGGGCACUCUAGCGAGACUGCCGGUAAUAAACCGGAGGAAGGUGGGGAUGACGUCAAAUCAUCAUGCCCCUUAUGACCUGGGCUACACACGUGCUACAAUGGUUGGUACAACGAGUUGCGAGUCGGUGACGGCGAGCUAAUCUCUUUAAAGCCAAUCUCAGUUCGGAUUGUAGGCUGCAACUCGCCUACAUGAAGUCGGAAUCGCUAGUAAUCGCGGAUCAGCACGCCGCGGUGAAUACGUUCCCGGGCCUU
This 364-nucleotide ribosomal RNA is filed under the name uncultured Streptococcus sp. Its description in RNAcentral is "bacterial SSU rRNA". It matches the Rfam family "Bacterial small subunit ribosomal RNA", at positions 1018 to 1382 of the family's 1533-position model. The record is from RNAcentral. Lineage: Bacteria; Bacillati; Bacillota; Bacilli; Lactobacillales; Streptococcaceae.